UCACAGACACUGCCUGAGUUAGAAGUUCCACUUCAGGUGACUGGAAGGGAACCUGAUUCCAAGGUGAAGGAUGCACAAUGGGCUGAUGAACAAAUGCCUAUUGAUUCUCUACAGAAUCUGUGAAGCAACAAACACAACUAGCUGACGAGAUUCAAGCCUACUCAAAGCUUUCAUAUCUCUCAAAUGAUUGCAUGGCGCUACUCCUGGAAGAGAUGGGUUUCGGACCUGGAUAAUUUUGAGGAAAAAAGGCAAACCAUCAUGUAUAGAAUAAGGAAGCAAUGGCCGUGCAAUGUUGUACCAACAAUCUGCAAAUACUGGCCUAUCUCCAUUAGGGGUGCACACAGAGCUUCUUGGAACUGAUGUUGCAGAAGGUUCACCAAGCUGAAAUAACACCAAGACCAGAGAAUGGUUCAUGCUUAUAAAAUA
Molecule: long non-coding RNA, 426 nt
Organism: Zingiber officinale
Lineage: Eukaryota; Viridiplantae; Streptophyta; Magnoliopsida; Zingiberales; Zingiberaceae
Exons: 3
Source: RefSeq, a predicted model, not a curated record